Non-coding RNA from Vicia faba (fava bean), 237 nucleotides. NCBI's taxonomy places the organism in Eukaryota, Viridiplantae, Streptophyta, Magnoliopsida, Fabales, Fabaceae. The record is from the annotation of a GenBank genome assembly.
AUGCUCUUGUUGGUUUUAGUUUUUCUUGCAGGUUUAAAAGGUAUAAGAAGAACAAUGAUGGAAUUACAUCCUCACCAUCGAAAAUCAUUGCAAACUCCGACGAGCCCCACCGACCGCUGCAUACACUCACAACCGCCGCAAAGCCAAAUGAAACAUCGACUGCAACAACGGCAGACCACCAUCGACGGUAAUCAACAUCUCUUCAUCGAUAAUCUCAACCACACACCAUGCCGGUAG